GCGCGAGUGGCGGAAUUGGUAGACGCGCUAGGUUGAGGGCCUAGUGGUAGCAAUACUGUGGGGGUUCGAGUCCCCCCUUGCGCACCA
Molecule: transfer RNA, 87 nt
Filed under: Myxococcales bacterium
Lineage: Bacteria; Pseudomonadati; Myxococcota; Myxococcia; Myxococcales
Description: tRNA-Leu
Rfam family: tRNA
About the family: Transfer RNA (tRNA) molecules are approximately 80 nucleotides in length. Their secondary structure includes four short double-helical elements and three loops (D, anti-codon, and T loops). Further hydrogen bonds mediate the characteristic L-shaped molecular structure. tRNAs have two regions of fundamental functional importance: the anti-codon, which is responsible for specific mRNA codon recognition, and the 3' end, to which the tRNAs corresponding amino acid is attached (by aminoacyl-tRNA synthetases). tRNAs cope with the degeneracy of the genetic code in two manners: having more than one tRNA (with a specific anti-codon) for a particular amino acid; and 'wobble' base-pairing, i.e. permitting non-standard base-pairing at the 3rd anti-codon position.
Source: RNAcentral